GUUUAUCAAUAUUUCAAAGAUACUGCCAUCCAGAUGCCAAAAUCUGCAGAACUCAUCAUCAACACUUUUGAAUUCCUGGAGCUAAGGCUCUCAAAGCAAUACUAGAUAAUCAAUGCACACAAGGCGAGCCCUUGCCUCCUGUAUAGUGCCUAGGGCCACUGACACGGAGCAACAACGGAAGUGAAGGUGUUGAAGAUAAACAAUUUUGCCUUAGUUGGCUGGACCUGCAACCAAGUCGAAAUGUCGUGUUUUUGAGUUUUGGUAGCAUGGGAAAAUUCUGCGCCAAGCAGUUGAAAGAAAUGGCCAGUGGGUUGGAAACAAACGGUGCUCGAUUAUUAUGGGUGGUGCGGCCACCACAAACGCCACCGAAUGGCCAGACCCAGCGCUCCCUACAAACAGGUGAGCCAAGUUUGGAUUCAUUCCUGCCGGAAGGGUUCUUGGAGAGGACCAAAGAUAGGGGGAUCGUUGUAAAGUCAUGGGCACCACAGGUUGAAUUACUGAGUCAUGACUCAUUAGGCGGGUUUGUAACUCAUUGCGGGUGGAAUUCGAUCCUAGAGGCCAUUUGUGCUGGAGUGCCCGUGCUGGCUUGGCCACUGUAUGCCGAACAAAAACUGAAUAGAGCUUUUCUGGUUAAAGAAAUGGUCGCUCUGCCCUUGGCCGAGUCGAGAGAAGGACAUGUCAGUUCAGCCGAGUUGAAGGAGUGAGUGACUGAGUUGAUGUUCUGCGAGGAACGGAAGAAGACUAGAGAGAGGGUGAUGAAGAUGACAGAUAAUGCAAGGGCCGCAAUCAAAAGAGGGUGGGCCUUCUCUCGCUGCCUUGGUGUAGUUGGCUCACUCCAUUUAAGCGUGC
Molecule: unclassified non-coding RNA, 849 nt
Filed under: Hevea brasiliensis (rubber tree)
Lineage: Eukaryota; Viridiplantae; Streptophyta; Magnoliopsida; Malpighiales; Euphorbiaceae
Source: RNAcentral